Molecule: ribosomal RNA, 277 nt
Filed under: uncultured bacterium
Lineage: Bacteria
Description: partial 16S ribosomal RNA
Rfam family: Bacterial small subunit ribosomal RNA
Source: RNAcentral
GACGAACGCUGGCGGUGUGCCUCAAACAUGCAAGUCGAGGGAGGGUUGGCGACUGGCUUGCCAGUCGUUCAACUUGACCGGCGAACGGGUGAGUAACACGUGGGCAACCUGCCCUGAAGACGGGGACAACCUCGGGAAACCGGGGCUAAUACCCGAUACCCUCCCUGGGGGGCAUCCUCCGGGGAGGAAAGGUCCGCAAGGUCCGCUUCAGGAUGGGCCCGCGGCCUAUCAGCUAGUUGGUGGGGUAACGGCCCACCAAGGCGAUGACGGGUAGCUG